CCCUCCCAGCCAUCCAGCCUUUGAGGGAGCUUCUAGGAUCUGACCUGUUGGGAUGGAUCACUCGCUGGACCUCCAUGUAUCCUGUCAGGUCCCUUCAGCCCCUUUCCUCCAGGCAGUACUUUUGGACCCACAGCACCCAGCUGCUCAAGGAUCUUCCAAAUGCAAGGUAGAAGAUAGGGAUCUGAGAAGUCCGGUCACCGGCUCAUAACGGCUGCUGUUUGCUAGGGCACUGCCGCAGACCGGACGCUCUGAUUUCAGGUUGGUUACUUCCUCUUCUUUCUUUCUUUUUUAAAAGAAAUCCUCUUCUCUUUUACCUAUGCUUUUCUGCCUUCCUUCAUCGAAAACAAUUCAUAAAUCAUAUUGUCUAUGAAGCUGUCUCAUCGCUGAGAAAAGGAAGUAAUGACAGCCUCCUGUAUUUCCUGUCUUCUCACUUCCCUCCCCCUUCGCCGGCACCCAGCCACCCCCACCAAGGAAGGGAACCUAACACUUGACUCCCUUUGUUCUUCUCCACCAAAAAAAUACCUGUAAAAAGGACUGCUUAUAAAUGAGCAAAAUGUACAGGUGUGCCUUACAGUAUGGAAUAAAAAUGUUCUUGCAAACUGUGCA
Molecule: long non-coding RNA, 606 nt
Filed under: Sus scrofa (pig)
Lineage: Eukaryota; Metazoa; Chordata; Mammalia; Artiodactyla; Suidae
Description: lncRNA (ENSSSCG00015012446.1)
Source: RNAcentral